RNAcentral lists this ribosomal RNA (254 nucleotides) under uncultured bacterium. RNAcentral describes it as "partial 16S ribosomal RNA". It matches the Rfam family "Bacterial small subunit ribosomal RNA", at positions 524 to 776 of the family's 1533-position model. The record is from RNAcentral.
UACGUAGGGGGCAAGCGUUGUCCGGAUUUAUUGGGCGUAAAGAGCUCGUAGGUGGUUCGGUAAGUCGGAUGUGAAAUCUCCAGGCCCAACCUGGAGGGGUCAUUCGAUACUGCCGUGACUAGAGGUCGGUAGGGGAGUGUGGAAUUCCUGGUGGAGCGGUGAAAUGCGCAGAUAUCAGGAGGAACACCCGUAGCGAAGGCGGCACUCUGGGCCGAUACUGACACUGAGGAGCGAAAGCGUGGGGAGCGAACAGG